Molecule: ribosomal RNA, 301 nt
Filed under: uncultured bacterium
Lineage: Bacteria
Description: partial 16S ribosomal RNA
Rfam family: Bacterial small subunit ribosomal RNA
Source: RNAcentral
CAGUCGCCCGGGAAUACGAAGGGUGCAAGCGUUAAUCGGAAUUACUGGGCGUAAAGCGCGCGUAGGUGGUUUGGUAAGAUGGAUGUGAAAUCCCCGGGCUCAACCUGGGAACUGCAUCCAUAACUGCCUGACUAGAGUACGGUAGAGGGUGGUGGAAUUUCCUGUGUAGCGGUGAAAUGCGUAGAUAUAGGAAGGAACACCAGUGGCGAAGGCGACCACCUGGACUGAUACUGACACUGAGGUGCGAAAGCGUGGGGAGCAAACAGGAUUAGAGACCCCAGUAGUCCCUGUCUCUUAUACA